Molecule: ribosomal RNA, 478 nt
Filed under: uncultured bacterium
Lineage: Bacteria
Description: partial 16S ribosomal RNA
Rfam family: Bacterial small subunit ribosomal RNA
Source: RNAcentral
GACGAACGCUGGCGGCGUGCUUAACACAUGCAAGUCGAACGGUAAGGCCCUUCGGGGUACACGAGUGGCGAACGGGUGAGUAACACGUGGGUGAUCUGCCCUGCACUUCGGGAUAAGCCUGGGAAACUGGGUCUAAUACCGGAUAGGACCCUGGGAUGCAUGUCCUGGGGUGGAAAGCUUUUGCGGUGUGGGAUGGGCCCGCGGCCUACCAGCUUGUUGGUGGGGUGAUGGCCUACCAAGGAGACGACGGGUAGCCGGCCGGGGAGGGUGACCGGCCACACUGGGACUGAGAUACGGCCCAGACUCCUACGGGAGGCAGCAGUGGGGAAUAUUGCACAAUGGGCGCAAGCCUGAUGCAGCGACGCCGCGUGAGGGAUGACGGCCUUCGGGUCGUAAACCUCUUUCAGCACCGACGAAGCGCAAGUGACGGUAGGUGCAGAAGAAGGACCGGCCAACUACGUGCCAGCCGCCGCGGUAA